This is a long non-coding RNA of Dendrobium catenatum, 953 nucleotides long. RefSeq lists it as uncharacterized. The transcript has 2 exons. The record is from RefSeq and is a predicted model, not a curated record. NCBI's taxonomy places the organism in Eukaryota, Viridiplantae, Streptophyta, Magnoliopsida, Asparagales, Orchidaceae.
CUAGUUGACGGUGAGUGCAUGAAUGCUUUGGUUGAAGAAAGGAUGCCAUGGACAUCCUAAGGUGGGCUGUUCAAGGGCUGCUGAAAGCAGGCUGGGGCUAUUCAAGUGCUGCUAGAGUCGAGGUGUUCACACGACAAGAGUGAAGGUGUGGCUUCUUUACUUGCUGGUGAAGAGCUCUUUGGAGGAAGAUCUCAUGAUAACAGUGCAAGGACAUGGAUAAUGUUAGAACAUAGCCAAAUCUAGUAGCAGGAAGGAUGAUAAAGAAUUAAGAUGUCGAUGGAUAAGAUCGGGGUUGAAAACUUCACAAGUCUCAAUGAUUUCAGCCUUUGGAGGCUGAAAAUGAAGGCUCUUCUUGUGCACCAUUUAAAACUUUUCAUCGUUUGUGAUGAUGAUAAAAUUGAGGGAGCUAUUUUUCUACCUUGCAGACAAGUUUGAUCUUUUGGGAGGAGAUAUUGUUAGAUCGGGUGCCUCCUAGAUUGGCUUUUGGGGGUUGAUUUGGAGGGAAUUAAUUAAGAAAUGUUUCCUAAUUGGAGAGGACAUAUUUGGAGAUGAUUUGGAGGGGAUUAAUUAGGAAAUGUUAUCCGAGUGAAGAGGGUAGAUUUGGGGGCUAAUUUCGGGUUUGAUUUCGAGAGAAUUAAUUAUUAAAUGUUUCUUAAUUGAAGAUUAUAGAUUUGGGGGCUGAUUUGGUAGGAAAAUAAUUAAGGAAAUAUGACAGAUUUGAGAGGGAAUUUGGGAGGACUAUUUGGGUAUUUGUUGUUUAUUGUAUGCUUUAAGUAGGGUGUAUUUCCAAGGGUUAGGGGGUGAGUUAUUUGCUGAAAUUAGAUUUUCUUAGAGUGUUUGGAUUAUAGCCGGUGGCUAGAGAUUUGGGAGAGCUGGAUCUUCCUCUCCAAUUGAAGAUCCACUUGUAUCUUGUCUUUUCUUUAAUAAAACUUUCAAUAAAAAUUAUCCUUGUA